Molecule: long non-coding RNA, 803 nt
Filed under: Medicago truncatula (barrel medic)
Lineage: Eukaryota; Viridiplantae; Streptophyta; Magnoliopsida; Fabales; Fabaceae
Description: long non-coding RNA (MTRU_LNC002037)
Source: RNAcentral
AAAUAUUCAAUUCAAUUUCAGUCUCAAUUAGACAUAUGAAGCAACAAAAUGAUGAAAAAGUGUGAGAGAAUAGACAACACACCUCUUCAAUUGCACCAAAUGGAGGUAAAGCAGCAGAUGGAGCCACCGUGUCCAGCGCCACGCGUAGGUAAUCCUUCGAAAUUUUUCCAUUUUUAUCUUUAGGCAAAGUCUCUAUAGCUGAGUUCAAAAUCUGCAUCCCAUCGUGGAGGAAUUAAUAUAUCAAUAAGCUAGGAACAAGAAAGAUGUUUCAAGUAAUUGAUAUCCAAAAUGAAAAUAGACCAACCUUGUCUAAUUCAAACUUGUUGGAUAAUAGUCUUUUAACACCAUUUCCAUCAAAGGUGCUUUCACUAUGAGCAACUAUAACAGGUUGCUCCUUAAGGCGAUUCGCCACGCUCAAUGCUACUUUCUUAAAUUCCUCCAAAAAUAUCUCUUGAGAAACAGGUUUAUCUAAAUCAUGCCCAUGUUCAGAAAGCAGUGCCGGUUCCACAAUGUUGCUAAUAACCUACACAAAGGAUGAUCAAGCCACACAAAAAUUGGUAUAUAGUUUAUAAUGUUUUGAAGUCAAUGAUAUAGAAAAAGUUUAGAAACAAGACAAAAUGAAAUUGGUCUCCCAUGUAAAAAAAUUGAAACCAUGUCGUGUAGACGCGCUAAAUUAUUAGAGACCACUUCCAUUUUAUAUCUGUCUAAUUUUCGUCGAUGGUUCAACUUUUUUUCUAGUAUGAAUUAUUGGCUACCCAAGAAUCAGAAGUAGGAGGAAUCCCUUGAUCAACAUUGAGUUUGCU